GCUUACGGCCAUACCACCCUGAGCACGCCCGAUCUCGUCUGAUCUUGGAAGCUAAGCAGGGUCGGGCCUGGUUAGUACUUGGAUGGGAGACCGCCUGGGAAUACCAGGUGCUUUAAGCU
Molecule: ribosomal RNA, 119 nt
Filed under: Betta splendens (Siamese fighting fish)
Lineage: Eukaryota; Metazoa; Chordata; Actinopteri; Anabantiformes; Osphronemidae
Source: RNAcentral